GAUGAACGCUGGCGGCGUGCCUAACACAUGCAAGUCGAGCGAUCUUCUUCGGAAGAGAGCGGCGGACGGGUGAGUAACGCGUGGGUAACCUGCCCUGUACACACGGAUAACAUACCGAAAGGUAUGCUAAUACGAGAUAAUAUACUUUUAUCGCAUGGUAGAAGUAUCAAAGCUUUUGCGGUACAGGAUGGACCCGCGUCUGAUUAGCUAGUUGGUAAGGUAACGGCUUACCAAGGCGACGAUCAGUAGCCGACAUGAGAGGGUGAUCGGCCACAUUGGAACUGAGACACGGUCCAAAAUCCUACGGGAGGCAGCAGUGGGGAAUAUUGCACAAUGGGCGAAAGCCUGAUGCAGCAACGCCGCGUGAGCGAUGAAGGCCUUCGGGUCGUAAAGCUCUGUCAUCAAGGAAGAUAAUGACGGUACUUGAGGAGGAAGCCCCGGCUAACUACGUGCCAGCCGCCGCGGUAA
This 468-nucleotide ribosomal RNA is filed under the name uncultured bacterium. RNAcentral describes it as "partial 16S ribosomal RNA". It matches the Rfam family "Bacterial small subunit ribosomal RNA", at positions 28 to 523 of the family's 1533-position model. The record is from RNAcentral.